ACAUGAAAUCAACGAACAGUCUUUUGAUCUAAAAGCCCAAUUAUUUGGCUAUAGAAAUCUAAUAUACCUCCUCCUCUUCUUUGUCUUCAUCCUCUCAAAUGCUUUUUGAAUUGCUAGUGGACGUCAUGGAAGGAAGUACCUUUUGGAGUCAGUUAUUAAAUCAAUUAACUACAAAUUUUCCAUAAAUUUAAAGAAAAAUAUAUGGCAAGUGUAGAUUCAUUGUCAUAUUACCUUGAUUUUCUAAGCUAUAUAGACACUAUGUACACACACAUAUAGUAGGUUUGAAGAGGAUAAUUUUACCUUCGUCAUAGAAAUCAACUGCUCUAUGGCUUUUGUUAAAGAAAAGCCUCUUUACAGCAAUAUUUCUUCCAUCUUGCAAAACUCCCGGAAAGAACAAAAGUGUUUAGCUUAGACAUCAAUAUUUAUGAUAACAUUUUAAAUUUUCUAGAAUAGUGUAGAUUAUACAUGUCCGUAGAAUUACAACCUUAUACAAUGUGGCUAAUUCACUUUGUUUAAGCUUGUUGGCUUCAUCAAAAGAAUUAGUUGCUUUCUCAAGUGUGGAAUAUUAUAAGUUCAAGCUGCUGUGAUGAAAUUUCUUUUCCAAUUUCUAUGCAUCACACAAAGCUAGGAAGAGAUAAGACCAUCAUGUUUACCAUCAAUAGUGUUCAAAGACCUUAUUCUACCUAAAUAUCAUAACAUUGAGUGCUUGAUAAUUAUUCAAAAAUCUUUCAAGUAUGGAAAAGUAUAACGUAAUGCAGAUCUAAGAUACAGUGAAGCCACUGCUAAAAAAUUUUCAAUAGAAAGUAAAUUCUUGAUGCUUAAGGCUGAAUAACUAUCUUAUACAGCUUAUAUGUUACACUUAUAUAGGCUAAAUGCAAUCUACCUUUCCUCUUCUUUUGUAUUGUAAUUUGCUUUCAAGUAUAAACUCCAAUCAAUGCUCCAAUAAAUUAAGGGGAAAAAAAAAAAGAAAUAUGGAACCAACAUGUGCCAUUAUAAUAACUGUUAUUUUUUGUGCAAAAGUCAGUUCAAAUGCAUGAUCAAGCUACAAUGGCACAAAAUUGAAGUUUUAACAUCUUAAGAAACAAAAUAAGAAUUUCUAAUAUUCAAAGAUGGAAGUAUGAGAUAUCAGCUUGUCAUGGGAUGGUCUUCAAUUUACAAGGAAUGAGGCUUCUCCUCCUGUAUGGAUAAAAGUCCCAAUAGGAAGAAACACAAAUAAAAGGAACAGAAGAAAGAAAGUUCAAACUUCAAACUGCAAGUGUAGGCAGAAUGAGAAGAGGUAAAAAAUUAUUAUAGAAAAGCUAGGGGAAAGAUCAUAAAGUACACAAGAGUAGGAUUCUAGAAAAUGUCAUUUUGCUUUAGAAUUUCUGAUGACAAAAAAUGAAUAAUAAAUCUCAAUCAGUGGAUGAUGGAAGAAGAGGAGGAGGAUGAGCAGCAGAACCGACUCUGCCUAUGCCGUAUCUCCAGUAUUGUUCUCCCAAAUUAAAGAAAUCAAUUCAAGGAAAUCAUAAUAAUCCAAUAAUUUUAACUGAAAAGGGAUUAAAGACAGGAAAAUGAUAUUCAGCUCUUGACAUGAAAGUAUUGAUUUUUUCCCAAAAAAACCACAAAGAAUAGGUUCAAGAAACUUAUAAAACAAACCUACGUGAUAUAUGUCUAAACAAUAGGGAAAAUAUGAUGGAAGUGCUGUUGAAGCUAAUCAGACGACCAGUAUAAUGGGUUUGCAUGAGACCGAUAGUCGAUUUUAAGUGUGGCAAGACUUGGAGGAGAGUAAAGUUUCAAGCGGGGCUCCUCCGCGCAGUGCAAAGAGACUUUCCUUGUCUCCAGUUACAACAUACCUUUUACUGGUUCAUACUACCAUCACGCUCGAAUCAGAUGGACCCAGACUUGAAAGAUUCCUCUUCUCCUAUCUGUAUCCAUAAUCAAACCAGCAAAAAAAAAAAAAAAAUCUAUAAGGGUUCUGGAAUUUAAGUGAAGCGCGAAGAUCGAGAACGGGAACGUUUGUUACGUUCAAGGUCCCGAUCGUAAUCCUGGUCCUUGCGUAUUCUUCGGUGGUGGAGAGAGAGGGAUGGUUCCUCGUCCAAACCCCGCCCCAUCUUAGACGCGACGGGGCGGCGACUUGCCCCAUUUGCUACACCGUUUAAAUUUUUUUUUUUUUUUUUUUUUUUUGACAUUUUCAAAAUUUUG
RNAcentral lists this long non-coding RNA (2181 nucleotides) under Olea europaea subsp. europaea. Lineage: Eukaryota; Viridiplantae; Streptophyta; Magnoliopsida; Lamiales; Oleaceae. The record is from RNAcentral.